ACACUAAGGAACUUUCCAUCAGCCAGCUUCAUUCAACAGGAUUGUUUCCCUUGAAGCUUUUUUAAAAAAAACCUCACUCCUUUCGAUAAAAAAAAUAAAAUAAAAUAAAGUGAGGAAUUCACACCCAUCUUUCUCUAAAUGCACACUGAGCAAGUGAUAAAUAUCACUGUUACAGAAGAAAUGUAUCUCCUUCCUUAACAAAUACACACAAUGGAUCUAGUGACAGCUUGAAAGGGGCUCAAAUGAGACAAAACUGGAAACUGGCUUGGACCUCCUCUGUGUUAACUGCCUUCUGUGCUGGGAAGGUGCUGCAUUUACAGGGUCUCCACACCAACCUGGACUUGAAAAAUCAUCUCCCAGAAGUGCCUCAGGAGAAGCCUCAAUCAAUAUAUCAUAAUCAGCCCUGGCAAACAUUUUACUUUCUAGAACAUUCUUCCCCAAAGAGCAUUCUCUGCAGUGACCCUCCUAUGCUGUUUUCUUCCUGUUUAUUAACCACGGGGUCGGAGCUGGUUUUCUAAUUAACUUCAUCUGGAUCAUGAAGUCAUCCAUUUGUGACCUUGGACUUCACAUCUCAUUUUACAGAUGAGAAAACUAAAGUUCACUAAGGCUGAGUGACUUUCUGCUGAUCAGAAAGCUAAGCAAACUGAGCCCAGAAUGGUCUUUGGACAAGGAGCCUAGGGCUUUUUCUGCUAAAGCACUUCUGGGUCCCCAGCCAAACACAGCCAUUCAAAAGUGGACUGUCAACCGCCAGCACUGAAAGAAGCCAGUGAUCCUGGCACCUUCAGUGGGAAGCUGCACUUGACAAAGAUUUGAAAACUCUGGAGGGGUGACAUCCUUGUGACUAACGUUAUCAAAAGGUUCCCAAAUCAGAGCUGGAUGUGUCCAGUCACUGCUGAUGCCAAGCUGUCCUCCAACUGCAACCCCAGCAGGCAGCGCCACAGAAGAAAGUAAAAUGCUCCCUCUGUUUAUCUUGGGGUUACACACACACACACACACACACACAGGGAUUAGUAUUCAACCCUCUUCCUUCAAUUCUUUCCAAGCAAAAUCAGAGGCUAGAAAAGGACAAGCCUGGGAAUUUGGGAAUCUUCUGCUCUUUGCCCAGUAAGAACACAUGGAGUAAAACAAAACAAAAAACAGAUUGCAUUCCUUAAAAGACACGUAUUUCCUAACAGUGCUUCCUCCCUGAUAAGCCAUCCAGGCUAACACUGAGCCCAGCGGGUAACUGCAUGGUGCUCACACACAGGGUCAGUCCUCCAAAAAAGGCAGUGAGUGGAGGGGACCUCGUCCUUCUGACCUCAGCUUUCACGGUGACCUCUCCUUUCCUUUCCAUAAGAAACCCACAGUAACAGUCUUAAUAUUUGGAGUUCGGGGGCUAUUUAAGCUUGAAACUGAAACACAUACUUCUAAAAGAAAAUCUCUCUUCUGAACACUCAUUUUUAAUUUUCAACCAAAUAGUACGCUUCUGAAUUCUUUCAUUUGCAUACCAAGAAUAAGGAACAUGCAAACAGACCUACGGGUGGAAAUAUAUGCCACAGGCAUAGCCCUGAAAAAAAAUAAGAGUUAGGAACACGGGCUGGAGCAAUCAAAUUUGACUCCCACCAUCACAUGGAGCUGCUGUCAUGGAGCCACGUCAUGGACGUUCCAGCUGCUCCUACUUCUCCCUCUCUUCAUCAACCAAAAUAAUCAAGUGUUUCCACAAAAGGGCAGUGUGAGGAUGAAGCAGAAACUCUCUCUCUGGUACUAUUAGAAGUGCAUUUUCUUUUCUUCCUUCCUUCUUUCUUUCUUUUUUUAAAUGGGCUGCAUGCAUGGCAUAUGGACGUUCCCAGGCCAGGGAUUGAAUCCUAGCUGCAGCUGUGACCUACCCUGCUGCUUCAGCAAUGCUGGAUCCUUUAACCCACUGUGUCAGGCCAAAGAGAGAACCCGCACCCGAGCCACUGCAGUCAGAUUUUAACCCACUGCACCACAGUGAGAACCCCUAGAAGUGCAUUUGCCAUCAAUCCCUAGAGUCACUAUUUUUUGUCUCCGACUAUCUUCUGGAAUAGCUCUCCAAUACGAAGUGGAGAAAUCAGAACCUUUUCUCAUUGUCUGCCAUGUCCCUCCAUGUAAGAAAAAGGUGAUCCUUCCACCGUUUAUGCCAGUGUUAGAACCAUUUCUCCAGCUCCGGGGACUACUCUCUGGUUACAGUAACUACAUAAGGUAGGUAGGUAUGUGCAAAUUCUGAUGGUUGCUCACAGAUGGGGGUCAAAAAAUAGUAGAGAGACAGAGAAGAAAAAGAAAACACUUCCCCGCAGCCCCCAAAAGAAAAAGAAACAAUGUCAAGGUGAAUAUAGUUUUCCGAUUUUCUUAUGUGGGGAUCACUAGCUCCUGAACUUAUAAGGGAUGUUUUCUUAAGGAAAAUCACUUUUCUUCUGAUGGACAGACUUCAUCUUGAACAUGAAUGCUAUUAAGAUCAAGUAAACUUUCCAAACUAGAUAUCCUCCUAAGGAACAUCAAUGAUUUGGGAAUCCAGGGUAAAAUUAAGUCCUUUAAAAUGCCACAGACAGGAGUUCCCAUGGUGGCGCAGUGGUUAACGAAUCCAACUAGGAACCAUGAGGUUGGGGGUUCGAUUUCUGGCCUUGCUCAGUGGGUUAAGGAUCCGGCAUUGCCGUGACCUGUGGUGUAGGCUGCAGGCGCAGCUUGGAUUCUGUGUUGCUGUGGCUCUGGUGUAGGCUGGGGGCUACAGCUCUGAUUUGACCCCUAGCC
This 2745-nucleotide long non-coding RNA is filed under the name Sus scrofa (pig). Its description in RNAcentral is "lncRNA (ENSSSCG00065071393.1)". Lineage: Eukaryota; Metazoa; Chordata; Mammalia; Artiodactyla; Suidae. The record is from RNAcentral.